Molecule: ribosomal RNA, 2639 nt
Filed under: Escherichia coli
Lineage: Bacteria; Pseudomonadati; Pseudomonadota; Gammaproteobacteria; Enterobacterales; Enterobacteriaceae
Description: partial 23S ribosomal RNA
Rfam family: Bacterial large subunit ribosomal RNA
Source: RNAcentral
CAUAGGUUAAUGAGGCGAACCGGGGGAACUGAAACAUCUAAGUACCCCGAGGAAAAGAAAUCAACCGAGAUUCCCCCAGUAGCGGCGAGCGAACGGGGAGGAGCCCAGAGCCUGAAUCAGUGUGUGUGUUAGUGGAAGCGUCUGGAAAGGCGCGCGAUACAGGGUGACAGCCCCGUACACAAAAAUGCACAUAUUGUGAGCUCGAUGAGUAGGGCGGGACACGUGGUAUCCUGUCUGAAUAUGGGGGGACCAUCCUCCAAGGCUAAAUACUCCUGACUGACCGAUAGUGAACCAGUACCGUGAGGGAAAGGCGAAAAGAACCCCGGCGAGGGGAGUGAAAAAGAACCUGAAACCGUGUACGUACAAGCAGUGGGAGCCUCUUUAUGGGGUGACUGCGUACCUUUUGUAUAAUGGGUCAGCGACUUAUAUUCUGUAGCAAGGUUAACCGAAUAGGGGAGCCGAAGGGAAACCGAGUCUUAACUGGGCGUUAAGUUGCAGGGUAUAGACCCGAAACCCGGUGAUCUAGCCAUGGGCAGGUUGAAGGUUGGGUAACACUAACUGGAGGACCGAACCGACUAAUGUUGAAAAAUUAGCGGAUGACUUGUGGCUGGGGGUGAAAGGCCAAUCAAACCGGGAGAUAGCUGGUUCUCCCCGAAAGCUAUUUAGGUAGCGCCUCGUGAAUUCAUCUCCGGGGGUAGAGCACUGUUUCGGCAAGGGGGUCAUCCCGACUUACCAACCCGAUGCAAACUGCGAAUACCGGAGAAUGUUAUCACGGGAGACACACGGCGGGUGCUAACGUCCGUCGUGAAGAGGGAAACAACCCAGACCGCCAGCUAAGGUCCCAAAGUCAUGGUUAAGUGGGAAACGAUGUGGGAAGGCCCAGACAGCCAGGAUGUUGGCUUAGAAGCAGCCAUCAUUUAAAGAAAGCGUAAUAGCUCACUGGUCGAGUCGGCCUGCGCGGAAGAUGUAACGGGGCUAAACCAUGCACCGAAGCUGCGGCAGCGACACUAUGUGUUGUUGGGUAGGGGAGCGUUCUGUAAGCCUGUGAAGGUGGCCUGUGAGGGUUGCUGGAGGUAUCAGAAGUGCGAAUGCUGACAUAAGUAACGAUAAAGCGGGUGAAAAGCCCGCUCGCCGGAAGACCAAGGGUUCCUGUCCAACGUUAAUCGGGGCAGGGUGAGUCGACCCCUAAGGCGAGGCCGAAAGGCGUAGUCGAUGGGAAACAGGUUAAUAUUCCUGUACUUGGUGUUACUGCGAAGGGGGGACGGAGAAGGCUAUGUUGGCCGGGCGACGGUUGUCCCGGUUUAAGCGUGUAGGCUGGUUUUCCAGGCAAAUCCGGAAAACCAAGGCUGAGGCGUGAUGACGAGGCACUACGGUGCUGAAGCGACAAAUGCCCUGCUUCCAGGAAAAGCCUCUAAGCAUCAGGUAACAUCAAAUCGUACCCCAAACCGACACAGGUGGUCAGGUAGAGAAUACCAAGGCGCUUGAGAGAACUCGGGUGAAGGAACUAGGCAAAAUGGUGCCGUAACUUCGGGAGAAGGCACGCUGAUAUGUAGGUGAAGCGACUUGCUCGUGGAGCUGAAAUCAGUCGAAGAUACCAGCUGGCUGCAACUGUUUAUUAAAAACACAGCACUGUGCAAACACGAAAGUGGACGUAUACGGUGUGACGCCUGCCCGGUGCCGGAAGGUUAAUUGAUGGGGUUAGCGGUAACGCGAAGCUCUUGAUCGAAGCCCCGGUAAACGGCGGCCGUAACUAUAACGGUCCUAAGGUAGCGAAAUUCCUUGUCGGGUAAGUUCCGACCUGCACGAAUGGCGUAAUGAUGGCCAGGCUGUCUCCACCCGAGACUCAGUGAAAUUGAACUCGCUGUGAAGAUGCAGUGUACCCGCGGCAAGACGGAAAGACCCCGUGAACCUUUACUAUAGCUUGACACUGAACAUUGAGCCUUGAUGUGUAGGAUAGGUGGGAGGCUUUGAAGUGUGGACGCCAGUCUGCAUGGAGCCGACCUUGAAAUACCACCCUUUAAUGUUUGAUGUUCUAACGUUGGCCCGUAAUCCGGGUUGCGGACAGUGUCUGGUGGGUAGUUUGACUGGGGCGGUCUCCUCCUAAAGAGUAACGGAGGAGCACGAAGGUUGGCUAAUCCUGGUCGGACAUCAGGAGGUUAGUGCAAUGGCAUAAGCCAGCUUGACUGCGAGCGUGACGGCGCGAGCAGGUGCGAAAGCAGGUCAUAGUGAUCCGGUGGUUCUGAAUGGAAGGGCCAUCGCUCAACGGAUAAAAGGUACUCCGGGGAUAACAGGCUGAUACCGCCCAAGAGUUCAUAUCGACGGCGGUGUUUGGCACCUCGAUGUCGGCUCAUCACAUCCUGGGGCUGAAGUAGGUCCCAAGGGUAUGGCUGUUCGCCAUUUAAAGUGGUACGCGAGCUGGGUUUAGAACGUCGUGAGACAGUUCGGUCCCUAUCUGCCGUGGGCGCUGGAGAACUGAGGGGGGCUGCUCCUAGUACGAGAGGACCGGAGUGGACGCAUCACUGGUGUUCGGGUUGUCAUGCCAAUGGCACUGCCCGGUAGCUAAAUGCGGAAGAGAUAAGUGCUGAAAGCAUCUAAGCACGAAACUUGCCCCGAGAUGAGUUCUCCCUGACUCCUUGAGA